UGGGGAAUAUUGCACAAUGGGCGAAAGCCUGAUGCAGCGACGCCGCGUGAGGGAUGACGGCCUUCGGGUUGUAAACCUCUUUCAGCAGGGACGAAGCGCAAGUGACGGUACCUGCAGAAGAAGCACCGGCUAACUACGUGCCAGCAGCCGCGGUAAUACGUAGGGUGCAAGCGUUGUCCGGAAUUACUGGGCGUAAAGAGUUCGUAGGCGGUUUGUCGCGUCGUUUGUGAAAACCAGCAGCUCAACUGCUGGCUUGCAGGCGAUACGGGAAGACUUGAGUACUGCAGGGGAGACUGGAAUUCCUGGUGUAGCGGUGAAAUGCGCAGAUAUCAGGAGGAACACCGGUGGCGAAGGCGGGUCUCUGGGCAGUAACUGACGCUGAGGAUCGAAAGCGUGGGUAGCGAACAGG
Molecule: ribosomal RNA, 409 nt
Filed under: bacterium
Lineage: Bacteria
Description: partial 16S ribosomal RNA
Rfam family: Bacterial small subunit ribosomal RNA
Source: RNAcentral